Molecule: transfer RNA, 128 nt
Filed under: Chitinophagaceae bacterium
Lineage: Bacteria; Pseudomonadati; Bacteroidota; Chitinophagia; Chitinophagales; Chitinophagaceae
Description: tRNA-OTHER
Rfam family: tRNA
About the family: Transfer RNA (tRNA) molecules are approximately 80 nucleotides in length. Their secondary structure includes four short double-helical elements and three loops (D, anti-codon, and T loops).
Source: RNAcentral
GUCGCGGUAGCUCAAUUGGUAGAGCACCAAAAAAGCUCGUCUUUCACGAACUUAUCUGAAAAGAAUGAUAGAGGGACGGUUAUCCACUGUUAAUGGGGUGUAUGUAGGUCCGAAUCCUACCCGCGGCG